UGUUAAAAAUUUCAUCCAUUUUUACAGUUAAAAAUUGGCAUGACUAACAAAAUAACCAAACAGUUACGCAUGAAAUGUCACGUGUACUUCAUUUGGACGUACAAAGACCAAUUUUUAACAAUAGAUAUGGAUGAAAUAUUUAACA
This is a non-coding RNA of Gossypium hirsutum (cotton), 145 nucleotides long. NCBI's taxonomy places the organism in Eukaryota, Viridiplantae, Streptophyta, Magnoliopsida, Malvales, Malvaceae. The record is from Rfam.